RNAcentral lists this unclassified non-coding RNA (317 nucleotides) under uncultured fungus. RNAcentral describes it as "partial contains 5.8S ribosomal RNA, internal transcribed spacer 2, and large subunit ribosomal RNA". Lineage: Eukaryota; Fungi. The record is from RNAcentral.
AACGCACCUUGCACCCUUUGGUAUUCCGAAGGGUAUGCCCGUUUGAGUGUCAUUGUAAACUUCAUACUCCUGAUUGGGAGUGGUGGACUCUGGGUCCUGUCGUGUAACGACUGGCCUGAAAUACAAGAGUGGAGACUAUGGAGUAUCUGACCAGGAGUUUCAAUAAUUCAUUUGUCAGUGCGACGACAUGGAGUCAUCCCUAGUCACUGUAUAGUUCUUCCUCUAAUUGACACCCAGUAGAGACAGUUAGGUGAACUCUACUCGCUGUACCUUGACAAUUUGACCUCAAAUCGGGUGGGACUACCCGCUGAACUUAA